RNAcentral lists this long non-coding RNA (333 nucleotides) under Phoenix dactylifera (date palm). RNAcentral describes it as "long non-coding RNA (PDAC_LNC013500)". The record is from RNAcentral. Lineage: Eukaryota; Viridiplantae; Streptophyta; Magnoliopsida; Arecales; Arecaceae.
AAAGAACUAGUAGAUGUUCUUUAUAUAGGAUUUAAUUUGAUAUCCCUGGCAAACUUUUCAACCAACUGAAACUACAAUGGCAAUUGCGAACCUAGCUCGUAAGGAAACCACAUUCAAAGAUAAUUAACCAUUUAAAAGCUAUGUUUUAAUCAAAACAAGAAGUUCCUUGCCAUGUUAAUACAGAAAACUAUUGAAGUUCCAGGUAGACUUCCAAGCCAAGUGAGAUACGGCUAGCAUUGAUGAAGCUAGAUUGCAUAUAUGCCACAUUCAAUAUACAGAAAGCAAUAGAAGAAAUAAUCAAACAUUAGACUUUGGCACAACCAUGACACUUUU